This 496-nucleotide ribosomal RNA is filed under the name uncultured bacterium. RNAcentral's name for it is "partial 16S ribosomal RNA". It matches the Rfam family "Bacterial small subunit ribosomal RNA", at positions 28 to 506 of the family's 1533-position model. The record is from RNAcentral.
GACGAACGCUGGCGGCGUGCCUAAUACAUGCAAGUUGAGCGCUGAAGGUUGGUACUUGUACCAACUGGAUGAGCAGCGAACGGGUGAGUAACGCGUGGGGAAUCUGCCUUUGAGCGGGGGACAACAUUUGGAAACGAAUGCUAAUACCGCAUAAAAACUUUAAACACAAGUUUUAAGUUUGAAAGAUGCAAUUGCAUCACUCAAAGAUGAUCCCGCGUUGUAUUAGCUAGUUGGUGAGGUAAAGGCUCACCAAGGCGAUGAUACAUAGCCGACCUGAGAGGGUGAUCGGCCACAUUGGGACUGAGACACGGCCCAAACUCCUACGGGAGGCAGCAGUAGGGAAUCUUCGGCAAUGGACGAAAGUCUGACCGAGCAACGCCGCGUGAGUGAAGAAGGUUUUCGGAUCGUAAAACUCUGUUGGUAGAGAAGAACGUUGGUGAGAGUGGAAAGCUCAUCAAGGGACGGGAACUACCCAGAAAGGGACGGCUAACUACGU